Ameiurus melas (black bullhead) is the source of this 72-nucleotide non-coding RNA. The record is from the annotation of a GenBank genome assembly. Lineage: Eukaryota; Metazoa; Chordata; Actinopteri; Siluriformes; Ictaluridae.
UCAGUGGUAGCUUAGCGGUUAUGACGCUGGACUAAAGAUCAGAAGGUCAUGAGUUCAAAUCCUAGCACAGAG